RNAcentral lists this ribosomal RNA (907 nucleotides) under uncultured bacterium. Its description in RNAcentral is "bacterial SSU rRNA". It matches the Rfam family "Bacterial small subunit ribosomal RNA", at positions 8 to 879 of the family's 1533-position model. The record is from RNAcentral.
AGAGUUUGAUCAUGGCUCAGGACGAACGCUGGCGGCAUGCUUCAUACAUGCAAGUCGCACGAGCUUCCGUUGAAUGACGUGCUUGCACUGAUUUCAACAAUGAAGCGAGUGGCGAACUGGUGAGUAACACGUGGGGAAUCUGCCCAGAAGCAGGGGAUAACACUUGGAAACAGGUGCUAAUACCGUAUAACAACAAAAUCCGCAUGGAUUUUGUUUGAAAGGUGGCUUCGGCUAUCACUUCUGGAUGAUCCCGCGGCGUAUUAGUUAGUUGGUGAGGUAAAGGCCCACCAAGACGAUGAUACGUAGCCGACCUGAGAGGGUAAUCGGCCACAUUGGGACUGAGACACGGCCCAAACUCCUACGGGAGGCAGCAGUAGGGAAUCUUCCACAAUGGACGAAAGUCUGAUGGAGCAAUGCCGCGUGAGUGAAGAAGGGUUUCGGCUCGUAAAACUCUGUUGUUAAAGAAGAACACCUUUGAGAGUAACUGUUCAAGGGUUGACGGUAUUUAACCAGAAAGCCACGGCUAACUACGUGCCAGCAGCCGCGGUAAUACGUAGGUGGCAAGCGUUGUCCGGAUUUAUUGGGCGUAAAGCGAGCGCAGGCGGUUUUUUAAGUCUGAUGUGAAAGCCUUCGGCUUAACCGGAGAAGUGCAUCGGAAACUGGGAGACUUGAGUGCAGAAGAGGACAGUGGAACUCCAUGUGUAGCGGUGGAAUGCGUAGAUAUAUGGAAGAACACCAGUGGCGAAGGCGGCUGUCUAGUCUGUAACUGACGCUGAGGCUCGAAAGCAUGGGUAGCGAACAGGAUUAGAUACCCUGGUAGUCCAUGCCGUAAACGAUGAGUGCUAAGUGUUGGAGGGUUUCCGCCCUUCAGUGCUGCAGCUAACGCAUUAAGCACUCCGCCUGGGGA